RNAcentral lists this ribosomal RNA (235 nucleotides) under uncultured bacterium. Its description in RNAcentral is "partial 16S ribosomal RNA". It matches the Rfam family "Bacterial small subunit ribosomal RNA", at positions 118 to 353 of the family's 1533-position model. The record is from RNAcentral.
UGAGCAAUCUGCCCUUCUCUUCGGAAUAAGCGUUGGAAACGACGUCUAAUGCCGAAUACGACCUCCUUUCGUAUGAUCAGAGGUGGAAAGCUCCGGCGGAGAAGGAUGAGCUCGCGGCCUAUCAGCUAGUUGGUGUGGGUAAUGGCCCACCAAGGCGACGACGGGUAGCCGGCCUGAGAGGGUGACCGGCCACACUGGGACUGAGACACGCCCCAGACUCCUACGGGAGGCAGCG